CGGCAGCGCUUCGCCCAGGCAGAAUUGUCAUCUGCUCUGCAAACUUUGAGAUAUGCAAUACAGUCUCUGUUUCUGAAUCCUAUUAGCACAAACCACUCUGGGGCAGGAGUCCAGGGGCACGGGGAAGGAACAAAAUUAAGGGACUUUCUGGUCCUCUGGGUUUCAUCAAUUGGGGGAGGGUGCAGCUCAGAGCAGGGUGGGCCUAGGCGGCCAGGGCGCCUACCUACCCCCAGUUACUACAUCAGACCCUGCACAUCCCACCGAGGGCGGGAGCCUGCGGGGGAGGGGGUGCCAGGUGGGGCGGGUCCAUAGACCCUCGCAGGCCGGAGGGCGCAUGCGCACCUUUUGGCGGGAAGAAGACCCCUCCCCCAUCCUUGCCGUCCCAACUGCCUGCCUUGGCGAAGGGGAGGGACAGCCAAGCCACUCCCGCCAGAAACCCUGAGCCCAGCUGCAGUACGGGGCGGGGCAUGGCGUCCCCACAUUCCACGGGAACACCUGAGUGGCACCCGCGGUGGCGGCUUCCGCCCUCCGACUGGGCUGGGUGCGGUGCUGCUCGGGCCCAGCUGCCGAGUCAGGUGCGUCCAGAUGGCAUUCCUUACCCUGGUGUUCCAACCCACCCUGACUCGCCGAGCUGCCACCGGAGCCAGGAAAGAUGGGCUGGGGGGCGCGGGGUGCUGCGGGUGCAGGGAGGGGGUGGCGAGCGCACCGUCCACAGAGAAGGACGUCCUGCGCCCCGCCCCCCGCACUCUUAGACCCUGCUCAGUGGCCGAGCUUUAAGUGCUGGACUCUACCCUGAUCGCUGGCUGCUUGUGGAGUGCCCUUGAAUUCCAGGAGCACUAGCUAUCUGUUGUUUAUUGCAAAUGUAACAGAAUUUAUCAUGGUCUGUGCACAUGGGUGAGAAGAAGAAUUUCCAGACUCAGGAAAAUGAAAAGAAAAAGGAGUUUAAGAUGAGAGGUGCUGCAAUUGCAGAAGGAUGACUUCCUGAUUAUCAGGGAAAGCCAAAUCUGCUCCUUUUCUGAUUGGGGGACAUUGACUUUGGCAUCAGGAGAGGACACUGACAAGGAACUGCAAAAUCCCUGGGACCUUUUUUUUGGGUAGAGGAACAUUGCAGACUUCCUUCUAUCAGCAUCUUUACCCAAUCACCUCAUCUUCCACCUGGCCUACUUGUCCCUGAAAGCUCCAGCCUGCGUUAACCAUCAUCUGUUAGCGAUUUUCAAACAGCGAGACAGAACCUGGACUCCUCACAAAUCCAGUUCCAGACAUACCAGUUCUGGUGGAGGCAGCUGCCAGGCCUUGGCCAUAACCUUGACCUGAUCUCUCAUGUCUUCACAAAGGCACAGCCCCUGAAGUGGGGAGGUCUCACUGCUUCGAGGACAAGCCAGUUUGUACAUUUGAAUAUACAAAAUAGAUGAGUAAUCACAAAGUCUUCUUCCAAUGUUUUAAAUGUAUUGGGUGUCUAUUUGUGAUUCUACUUUAAUAAAAGCCUUUUUUGGGCAAACAAAUCAUUUACAUAUAAUAAACCAUGUAUGGUAUAUAAUAUACAUUAUAAUUAUAUGUAAUAUAUAAUAUAAUUAUUAUACAUUAUUUUUGAUUCAACAUAUAAUAUAUUUUUAUAUUUAUAUGUUCUAUAAAUAUAUAUUUAUGUUAUGCAAUUUACUAUAUAUAUGGUUUUCCAUAUAUAUACCAGAGCCAGUGAAACAUCUGCAUUUUUAUAGGAAAUCUUUAUACAGGUGAUUCUUGCAAAUUUAACCUUGAUAAAGUCAGUCAUAGUCAUGAAUUUUUUGGUUUGUUUCUAUUAUGUGUCCUUUGUCCUAGGUCAGCUUCAUAAUUUCAUGGUGUCUGAUGAAGAAGCCAUGAGGAAAGUCUGUCUGCCUGCCUAUCACAGGAGUUAGGGGAUGCAUGAGACAGAUUUUUAUGUUUUUUUGGAACACUUCAGCAGCAAGACACUAGCAGCCCCACAACCAGCGAGAAGAAGAUGGCCCAGAGCUUCUCCAACUCCUCAGAGGAAUCCGACUUGGAUACCUCCAUGGAAGAAACCAUACGUGAUACUAUCUGGGCCAGAGCGGAGAAGCCCAGCAGUGCCAGGAGAGCCUGGGCAACUCACCAGUGAACUUCCUCAUCAAGAAGCUGCAGCAGAUGGUGAGCCAUCCCCUGGUCAAGCCUGACCUGAACUCGAGGUACCUCUGGUCAACCCCUGCUCAGCCAGUCAUGCUCCAGUACCUACCCUACCCACCCUUUCCUGCUAAUCCCUCUUCCCUUCCAGCAUCAGGUGGCAGUGCCCAGACCACUCUGUUUACCAAGCACCUACUCCCUACCAGGGGAGGCCAAGCCUUGGGGGCACAGAAAUCAGUCUUACAGAGGCCACAUGCGCAGAGAAUGUCUUAGCAGCACAUGGGCCCUCAGUCCCCAGGUGGGCCCUGCCUCUUCCCCCUGUAUCUCUGUGACCCCUGCUUCCUGGGGUGUGCAAGUUCUGUCUGGUGUGCCCUUCCCUGCACUGCCUGAUGGUCACCUCCUGGUUGUCCCUUGAGGCCCAGGCAUGAUGUCAUUUGCUGCCUUGCUUUCCUGAAGCUCUUGAGGCUGCUUCUUGCCUGCAGUCCCUCGAGCCCCCCCCCCCACCAUGCACUUGCUUGGUUCCUGUGGAUCCUUCCUGCCAGGGCCACCUCUCCCACCCACCAAGUGUUGGCUUGUGGGGCAUGGGCAGGGCUGGGGUCAUGACCCUGCUGUGUGUGGCACUUUUGCAGUAGGCGCUCUGAAUAGCUCACUGGAGGACCCAAGUGGGGCUCCCAGGCCCUGCCAUCCCUGGGCUUUAUAUGGUGGUAAAGGGUGAAAAAGUAAUCUGGGUGGGGGGUGCUUGUGAGGAGGGUUCUUCCCGGCCAUGGUUCCUUUUUGGCAGGGCCUUGGAGGACCAAGAAGCCCUUCAUCCUGUGGAUGGCAGGUUACAGGGACAUUCUGAAGCCUGGGUGGGCAGUGCCUGGCAGUAGAAAGAUAGGACCAGGUAUGGGGUGCAGUGUGGUGAGUGGACCCACUGGGUUGGGCUUGGAUGGACUUCACUCCCCACCUCUGCUGCAUGGAGUCCCUGCACAGGGUCUGGCUGGUGGAUGCAGCAUCUGGGCCCAGUGGGAAGCUGGGGUGUGUUGGCCCACAGUCAGGCCAAAUGGGCACCUCUGGGUGGGAAUCCUUGUCUCCUGGGAUCAGGUAGGUGCUUGGGGUGUCAGGGCAGCUUUCUGCCACAGGACUAUGUGGAGUGGGCUCUCCUCUGGUAGGCUCAGGUUCAUCUCUUGACUUCUUAGUGCCUAUAUCCUUCAGUCCCCAUGGGUCUUGGUGUGCCCAUGAGGACCCCUCAUUUCAGAGUCAGGUGGAAGGAAGUGGGAGAUGUAUGACUGGGAUAUGAGUGGCCAAGAUGGGUGUAGACAGACUCUCAGGUGCUCCAGAUGGAUCCAGGGGCUCUGUCCAGCCUGUGUACUUGAAGGCCCUGAUGGGGGAGGGGCUGCCAUGAAGAUCAGAGGGACUGGCAGGGAGGCCUGCUGCACCACCUCCUGGCCAUUUGGCACAGGUGUGGCACUUGGCCUCUGACUGGAAUCCAUCUCCUAGAGUCUGGGGGUCUAGAGAGUUGGCUCUGCCUGAGGUCUCUGGAAGGGGCUCAAGCAGGGAAGCCCUGCUCCUGGCCUGCUCCCAGCCCUGCUCUCUGGGUAAGGGCUCUCCCUGGGCUGAAAGUGCUGUCACCUGUCAUUUAAGGGCAAGGUCAUAUGGCCCCACCUUUUAGGGGAAGCUCAGGCCUUGGGGCCACCCUGCAGCAAAGACAUGGGAAGUGUGCAUUCAGCUGUUCUUUCUUCCAUGUCAUCGAACAGUUUUAUGAAAGUUACACGAUUAUUAUAAAGACCUCAAGCUGUAUGGGAAAGCACAGAUGCCAGCACCAGAAGUGGUUGUCAGUAAUGUUUCAUGAACAUUCCAGAUGUGCCUCUCCAAAGGGUUACAGGUAAUGGGUGGCCAUGUACAGAUAGAAAUACGUGGGUAAGUGUGGGCUCAAUGUACACACAAUGUUAAUAAAUCAACAAUAAGAUGAUGUGAAUUGAACAUAAAAGGAGAAAAAGUCAGUGUAGGAACUGCUGCACUUUAGUGAUUUUUUUUUUGCCAGAAGAGAUUCUUUCUGGAUAAAUCUGUAAAGUUAAAAGAAACAAUGAAUAAAUACGGGAAGGCUAAAUUCUUAAUUUUUUUUAUUAUAAUCUUUCCUCUUCUCUUAUUGCUGUACAAAACUUAGCAUUCUCUCCAUGUAUGGUUUGGGGUAGAUUAAUCUGAUUGCUGUGAUAAACAGGCCUCUAAACCUCAGGUACUUAACACAGAGGUUUCCUUUCUUGGUCCACUGGGGAUUUGCAGGAAUGAAGAGGUGGUGGUUCUGCUCCAUGCAGCCAUGAAGGGACACAGGCUGCAUUGGUUGGGUAGCAGGGACAUUCCCUGGACCCUGGAAUCCUCCACAGUAUCUCCUGUGUCUACCCAGAGGAUGAGGGAGGGGAAAGAGAGAAGUCAUGGAUCACAACUGUCCUCCUACCUUCCCUCACAUCCUCUAGAGGCUAUUCUUGACCUGUGUUCCUGAUCUGGGCUCCUGACCCAGGCACCUGACCCAUGCACCUGACUGCAUGCAUCUAACCUAUACUAACCCACCUAACCCAUACUCUUGACCCAGGCAACUGACCCAUGAACCUGACCCAUACUAACCUACCUAACCCAUACUCUUGACCCAGGCUCUUGACCCAUGCUUUUGACAGCAUUCCCCUGACCCAUGCUGCUGACCAUAUGCACCUGACCUAUGCUUCUGACUUUCAGAGACUGAGGAAUAUAGUUUAGCUUUUGUUCCAAGAAAGAAAAUGUCACUAUCAGUGUGUACACAGGCAUCUACUGUGUGGCCUUUAUUUCUCAUCAGAGAACAAAGAGAAAGACCCACAUACCGUUGGCUCUUCAAAUCGGUGUGGUUCAUGCAAUGAAAUAAUGCUCCAAAGAAGGGGAAAAUCCUCCACAAGGAACAGAGAACCCCAUUGAUCCAGGAAAUGUGAAGUGUCCAUUUCCACUGGUGCUCUGUAUCUUCUCUGUGGCUUCUGAAGGAGGUGGGCAGAGAGAUGAAUGGAUUCAUGUAUAAGCAUUAUCACCAAGGUGAGUUUCAGUGAGUGAAACAAGAGAGGCAUUAGGUAUGGAUUUGUUUUCAUACAAAAUGAGUCACCAUGUGCAUGUCAAUGGCUUCCAUUUCAAAAAAGUCAUUCUUGUUGCCUCUUGUGCGAAAGAAGUGUGGAGAGGCUUGCUGUGCAAUUUCCCUGGUUGAUUUUUCAGAAGAUUCAUGAAAGAAUAGCUAAUAGUUUUACAUUCUUGACCUUUUUCUUUUCAUGGGCAAUAGAUCCCCACAGUUCAAAGGUCCAAAAAUGGAGUUUGAAGAAAAAAGUCCUAGCUAUCAGCAAUUAGUUGCACUGGUACCAUUUUUAGUCACAUUUCCUAGAUAGAGAUGUCAUUUUUGCCUAUUGAAGGACAUACAUAUGUCUUAAGUUUAAGGAGGUCUAGGAAGUGGUCUAAUAUAUGCUUUCAUUUCCUUUCCCAACAAAGGUCAUCAUGUCCUCCAAGUGGCUUGUGGUUUUGGCUUGAUAACCUCUAAAGAAAAGGAUUGUUCCAUAACCAAAUAAUUACACAGCCCAGAAGCAAAUGCAUGCUUGGGGUUUAGGCAUCCUGGCGAGCCGCUUGCAGGCUGACUUGUGUGUCUAUACUGAUGGAGCUUGGACUCCAGGUGGCCUUGGUCAGAGGACACUCAGGGGAUGAAGGGCUGUGGCUGGGUGUACCCCUCAGCUCAAAAGGCCUUGCAUGCCAAUGGCAAGAUCCAGAUGUUUCCACCUCUCAGGUAUGCAUACCCAUCCAAGCUCCACCACCUGCUCCCUUGAUGUAUGACAUCGCCCAUGUGCACCUGGCUGAUCCUCAGUAUCUCUGUGUGGACAGCAGGGACAGUCACACUCUCAGCCUCACAGGGGCAUGCAUGAGAACAUGAUUACAGACAAUAUAACAGGACAGCAAUGCCAGAUCUGAGCUGUGUCCAUGAACCAAGGAACAGGUCCCAACAAUGCUGGAUCCUUGGCCUACUGAACGACACCAAGGAAUGACCCCAUGCCCUUGUGUUUACUAGUCAGCUUCCCUUCUGCAGAGCCAUGAUGGGAACUCCUGUGGCACAGGUUUGGAAGGCCUCUUGACUAGGAUCUUCCAGAUGACAUGUUCGGACAAAGCACAGACAAUGCCAAGGUGUGAGGUGGCGGGGAGUAUCCUGCUUCUUAGGCACUGCACUUUGAGAGACUAGGUUUUGGUGUUUGGGGUUGACAGACAGGCCAUCUGUCAUCUCUUUCUGGCAUUGCCAAACACUGGUUCCAUGAUCCCAGGACAGGGUAACUUCCCCCAGCCUCAGGUUCCCCAUGUGACCCGUGGGAACCAUUGGAAUACACAGAUGGCUAAGGGUCCAGUAACCAAACCCAUUUGGUGGGAGGAAGCAGGCCCUUCCCAGCACCACAGGCACCACAGCUCUGCCUCUGACCAUGGGCCCCAACGGACCUGACGGAACUCUGCCAUGCAAACACACAGGUGCCUGGCAACCAGUGCAGAUGACCAUUAGGGUGGAGGGAGUGGGAGGCCCACCAGGUUCUAGAAGGCCCUUCUCUCUUAUUCCUGUGCUUCCUGCUCAGGGAUCUCACAGAAGCACUGCCUUUGUGGAGCGCCAAGGGCUGAUGGAAACCAGGAGCUGGAUGUGGCAACAGGCAAACUUUGAUGGUCAGGCAGUGUCCUGGCUCUUCUGGGUGUCGUUUUUCCAACUGGAAAAUGAUCUGACUGGUGGUAAAACCGUCAGACUUAGAUGAUUUCAACUUGUAAGGUGAUCUUUUUGUUUGUUUGUUUCAAGAAAUUCAUACCUUCAUAAAAUCCUUUCAAAUAUUAGAGAAGGGGAGGUCAUCAAAGCAGAAGGCCCCUUGUGCCUCAGCAGUAAUGGACCCAUUAAUGUCCAUGAGGAAGCGGGAUUGAACUCUGGCCUUGCUCAGUGGGUUAAGGAUCCGUGAGCUGUGGAUUAGUUGGUAGACCCAUCGCGGAUUGUGGGUGGCCAAGGCCAUGGUGGUGGCAUAGGCCAGCAGGAGAAGGUCUGAUUGACCACCAGCCUAGCAACUUCUCCAUGCUGUGUUUGGGGCCAGAAAAUAAAGAUAAAAUCUACCUUUCUAAAAAAUCUAAAAGAUACACAUUGCCUCCUGUUAUUACUGAGGCACUGAAGUAACGAAUCUUCGCAUCUUUGCCCAGGGCAUACGUUACUAAGUCGAUUUUAACUGAAGCAUGAUAUCCAUAGAAUUCCUAUAAAGAUGUACACAGGGAUCUACCGUGUGACCUUUAUUUCUCAUCAGAGAAUGAAGAGAAAGACCCAUUCCCUGCUAGCUCUGGAAAGAGUUGCGGUUCAUGCAAUGAAAUAAUGAUGAAAAGAAGGGGAAAAUCCUCCAUAAGGAAGAGAGAACACCAUUGCUCCUGGAAAAGUGAGGUGUCCAUCUGCACGGGGGCUCUGUAUCUUCUGUGUGGCUUCUGAAGUAGGUGGUAGAGAGAUGGAUCGACUCAUGCAUAAGCAUUACCACAGAGGGGAGUGACGGGAUCUACUGUGUGGCCUAUAUUUCUCAUCAGAGAAACAAGAGGGAGACACACUCCCCACUGGCUCUUGAAAUCGUUGUGGUUCAUGCAAUGAAAUACUACUGAGAAGAAGGUGAAAAUCCUCCAACAGGAACAGAGAACAUCAUUGCUCCUGGAAAAGUGAAGUGUCAGUCUGCACGGGUGCUCUGUAUCUUCUGUGUGGCUUCUGAAGGAGGUGGGCAAAGAGAUGGAUGGGCUCAUGCAUAAGCAUUAUCUCUGAGGUGAGUCAUGGUGAGUGAAACAAGAGAGGUGUUAGGUAUGGACAGGUUUUCACAUAAAAUUAGUGCCCAUGGGCAUGUCAAUGGUUACCAGUUAAAAAAAGAAAUUCAUGUGGCCUGUUGUUGGAAAGAAUGUGGAGAGGCUUGCUGUGCCAUUUACCUGGUUGAGUUUUCAGAAGAUGCAUGAAAGUACAGCAAAUGUUUUUACAUUUUUGAACUUUUUCUUUCACGAGCAAUAGAUCCCCAUAGUUCAAAUGUCAAAAAAUGAAGUUUGAAGACAAAGGCCCUACCUUCCAGCCCUGAGUAGCACUGGUACCAUUUUUUUGUCGCAUUUCCCAAAUAGAGAGUACGUUUUGGCCUAUUGAAAGAAAUACAAUGUCAUAAGCUUAAGGAGGUCAAAGCAGUGGUCUAAUAUAUGCUUUCAUUUCCCUUCCCACCAAUGGCAGUCUCUUUCUCCAACCAGAAUUUGAGUUUUGGCUUGAUAAACUCUAACACGAUGGAGGAUAAUGUGAGACAAAGAAUGUAUGUAUAUGGAUGAUGGGGUCACUUUUCUUACAGCAGAAAUUGAUGAACAUUGUAAAUCAACUAUAAUAAAACCUUAUUUAAAAAUCUACAGCAGAAUUAAAAAAUAUCUACAGCAGAAUUUUUAGGCUGAUGCCCCUGUCCCCAACUACCUGGUGUGGUCUAGGAGAGGUGGCCACUGGGGGUUGUCACUCCCUCCCCGUGGUACUUGGGCAUGUGUGGGACAACUUUGAGCCUCAGUGUCCCCUCCUGUUUAAUGGAAGCAGCCACCCUGCAUUUAAUAAAUGUCCCCAGGUCCCCAGGUGUCUGGGGUCUAUGCUCUGUACUGGGCCUGGUUUCUUUGGAGCAGGUCUUGCCCCUUUGUUCCAAUCCAGGAACACUUGUGAAAGCAACCAAUCAUGGACCUCACUCUCCUGCAAGUCUCAGAGCAGGCUGGACCAAUGUGGGACUUCCUGUGAGCUUACAGAUGGAGGGAUAGAAGCCAAGGAGAGGCCACAAAGCUGGCUUUUCCCCCACCAUCCCUUGCCUGGACCCCCCCUUCCACCUGAGCAGCUUGGCCCAGGGCAGCCCUCGCCCUCCUGGACUGCACAUGUCCUUUAUUAAGGAGGCAUAGCUUAAAACACGGUCAUGUGAGGCAAAUGGGAUAACCACUACACUACAGAAACCCUGCCCACAUGAACAAAAGAAAAGUCAACAACCAUAUGAUCAUCUCAAUAGAUGCAGACAAAGCAUUUGACAAAGUCCAACAUCCAUUCAUGAUGAAAACUCACCAAAGUGGGUAUAGAGGGAACAUU
This is a non-coding RNA of Sus scrofa (pig), 9208 nucleotides long. Lineage: Eukaryota; Metazoa; Chordata; Mammalia; Artiodactyla; Suidae. The record is from RefSeq and is a predicted model, not a curated record.